GCGGUGCCACCUCCGACUAUUAUGUAAUCGUAUCCUUUCUCUCUCUCAUGGCCGUCCCGAUAGAACGAGCUUGCGCGCUUGAUGAACGGGGAUUUGUUGUAGUAGCUACUUUGUAAUGGAAGAUAUCAGAAAAACCAACCUUGACAAGAAGAGAGAAGGUGUAAGAGGCAGAGGAGAACAAGGAAGAGAAAGAGCUUGACUGUCCCAACCAACGCCAUUGAGUUGCAGACAAGGCAAAAGACAGUAGCAGUAGCAAAGGAUGCUGCUUCUUCCAAACCUUUGGGGUUUUGGAUGGCUGCUCGUGGAUCGUUGGAUGAUUUCUUCUGUGAUUUGAUCAUGGCCUUUCAUGAAUACUUGAAGACAGCUCAUUCACCAAUCUCCCCUUUAAACUGUAUGGAUGUAGAAGUCAAAGGAUGAAAAGUUCCAAGGAACAUUUUCUACAAUGUCUCUCUUACAGAACCCAGAAUCCAUAGCUAAGAAGGGUUUGCGCUCUGAUGAAAUAUAUCACAAGUUGGGAGUUCGCAGUUUUUUCGCGCAACGAAGAGUAUGGAUGAAGAAGAUAACUCUUCUAGGAGCUUCCCCAUUCAAGAAAACGUUCAAUGAGGUUCAUAGCCUAUUGGUUUAGUGUUGCCUAAUGUCACGAUCAUGCUUGUUUAAGGUGUGUUGUCUAUGGCCGCUUGUCGAAUGUCCUAGUUAUGCUUAUCCAGGAUGUGUUGUCCAUGGCUGCAUGCCCGUUCCAAACCCCUUUUACAUGCUUUCAUCUUAGAUAGGUCUUUAUUAUUUCAUGUUGUCUUAAUACGGGGGUGUAUGACCGUUCACCAAAAUCAUGUCUACACUCAACAAGACUUAAAUGCCUUAAAAUGUACUAUAGAAAAUAUGACUAGUUGUUACUUCUUCUUACUUGGGUUAUAUGCUAUUAAAGUCGUU
Cucurbita moschata (crookneck pumpkin) is the source of this 927-nucleotide long non-coding RNA. RefSeq lists it as uncharacterized. Lineage: Eukaryota; Viridiplantae; Streptophyta; Magnoliopsida; Cucurbitales; Cucurbitaceae. The transcript has 4 exons. The record is from RefSeq and is a predicted model, not a curated record.